AAAGGCUGCGGUAAUUUGACCGUACAAAGGUAGCAUAAUCAUUAGUUUUUUAAUUGAAAACUCGUAUGAAUGGUUUAACGAAAUAUUAGCUGUCUCAUAAAAAUUUUAAUAGAAAUUAAUUUUUUAGUUAAAAAGCUAAAAUAAAAUUAAAAGACGAGAAGACCCUAUAGAGUUUUAUAUUAAAAUAAUUAUUGUUUAUUUAUAAUAAUUUAAAUUUUAUUUUUUUUUAUAUUUUGUUGGGGUGACAAUAAAAUUUAAAAACCUUUUAUUCUUUUUUAUACAAUAAUUUUUGACUAAUUGAUCCAUUAAUAGUGAUUAUAAGAUUAAAUUACCUUAGGGAUAACAGCG
RNAcentral lists this ribosomal RNA (348 nucleotides) under Synplasta gracilis. RNAcentral describes it as "partial 16S ribosomal RNA". Lineage: Eukaryota; Metazoa; Arthropoda; Insecta; Diptera; Mycetophilidae. The record is from RNAcentral.